This 250-nucleotide ribosomal RNA is filed under the name uncultured prokaryote. Its description in RNAcentral is "partial 16S ribosomal RNA". It matches the Rfam family "Bacterial small subunit ribosomal RNA", at positions 524 to 773 of the family's 1533-position model. The record is from RNAcentral.
UACGUAGGGGGCAAGCGUUAUCCGGAUUUACUGGGUGUAAAGGGAGCGCAGACGGGUGCGCAAGUCUGAAGUGAAACCCCACGGCUCAACUGUGGGCUUGCUUUGGAAACUGUGCAUCUUGAGUGUCGGAGGGGUAAGCGGAAUUCCCGGUGUAGCAGUGAAAUGCGUAGAUAUCGGGAAGAACACCGGUGGCGAAGGCGGCUUACUGGACGACAACUGACGUUGAGGCUCGAAGGCGUGGGGAGCAAAC